RNAcentral lists this transfer RNA (68 nucleotides) under Callulops wilhelmanus (Wilhelm callulops Frog). RNAcentral describes it as "tRNA-Ser". The record is from RNAcentral. Lineage: Eukaryota; Metazoa; Chordata; Amphibia; Anura; Microhylidae.
GAGCAUGUUUGGACUAAAUGAAAAUUGCUAAUUCUCAUAAUCACGGUUCAACCCCGUGACUUGCUCGU